Molecule: ribosomal RNA, 215 nt
Filed under: uncultured bacterium
Lineage: Bacteria
Description: partial 16S ribosomal RNA
Rfam family: Bacterial small subunit ribosomal RNA
Source: RNAcentral
UACGAAGGGGGGCUAGCGUUGCUCGGAAUCACUGGGCGUAAAGGGUGCGUAGGCGGGUCUUUUAAGUCAGGGGUGAAAUCCUGGAGCUCAACUCCAGAACUGCCUUUGAUACUGAGGAUCUUGAGUUCGGGAGAGGUGAGUGGAACUGCGAGUGUAGAGGUGAAAUUCGUAGAUAUUCGCAAGAACACCAGUGGCGAAGGCGGCUCACUGGCCCG